Molecule: long non-coding RNA, 212 nt
Filed under: Mytilus galloprovincialis (Mediterranean mussel)
Lineage: Eukaryota; Metazoa; Mollusca; Bivalvia; Mytilida; Mytilidae
Source: RNAcentral
UGUAAUUCAUAAUUGGCUGCAUGAAACGGUCGGCGGAGUGUUGGUCAAGUGAUGAGCAAGUGUUUGUAGAAUAAUCUCCACAUCAAUGCUUUAUUAAAUGCACAUUUAUAACAAAAAAAAAAAAAAAAAAAAAACGAUUGCGAGCAUAAACACUGAAAGAACAUAAAAUAAAAUAAAUGUGAAACCGUACAAAAACAGUCAAUUUGCCCCAG